UUACCUGAUUAAAGCAGCGAUUAUUUCGUCGCACCGAAAAUUGUCGAAAACAUCGAUGAUAUGAACACGCGGCCAAGAACAACACGUGUGAAACGCGUGGCAUCGAGCAUAUUAUUCUAAAUACAAGCCGUACGAUUACGCACCCCUGUCGCGCAGCCUGUGGUCUAAUCAGUUUGUGGUCGUGAGAAGACUGACAUCUCAGCAACUAACUUCGAUAUACUCAAACACCGAAAUGGCAGAUAUACAGAUGAAUGAAGCCGACCACAUCGCCGCCGAGCCCGUGGCCG
Nylanderia fulva is the source of this 287-nucleotide non-coding RNA. Lineage: Eukaryota; Metazoa; Arthropoda; Insecta; Hymenoptera; Formicidae. The record is from RefSeq and is a predicted model, not a curated record.